RNAcentral lists this long non-coding RNA (767 nucleotides) under Heterocephalus glaber (naked mole-rat). Its description in RNAcentral is "lncRNA (ENSHGLG00000035058.1)". The record is from RNAcentral. Lineage: Eukaryota; Metazoa; Chordata; Mammalia; Rodentia; Bathyergidae.
GGACAUUGUGGCUGAGUGGCCAGGACAUGGGGACUGGGAAUUGGGAGAUCUGAAUUCCAGCCUUGGCUGGGCACUAGUUCACAACGUUGAUUAGGUCCCCUCACCCUUUUGGGAGAUGAAGAAUUUGGCCCCGGCACCUCCUGCAUGGACCUUUAUCUUCUAAUUGACCUUGACUACCAGGGCUUGGUCAGAAAAGGAAGGAAGCGGAGGUUACAGUGGGAGUUCCAAAUAGCUGCUCCAAGAAGUGACUGGGCUUAGGAAUGUUUUCCUUUGUCUGGUCAGGUAGGACAGAGCCCAGAUCCGUGGCGAUCCCACCUUUGCAUUUCCAUGGAAAUCAAGGCCCACAGAAGAAGAAACACAGAUUCUGAAAGGAAGAGAGAAAAAGGCAGACUAGCUAGAGAGCUUGGGGCCUGAGGAACACACAACAUGUAGGCAGAUUGGAGGAUUGAUCAGCCUCAGAUAAGCAUGAACCAGGCUUUUUGCUUGUGAUGCUGGGAUUGAACCUGGGGCCUCAUGAAUGCUAGGUUUACCAAACAUGUAUGCAAUAUGGUAUUUGGCCUCGUGGAAUUAUAUCCUGUGAUAUAUUAUGAUGCGCACCUGUAUCUCUGUGAGCGUGUCACUGCCCCUCACUCCUCCCCGUGAGCACCUCUCCGAACCUCUCUGUCAUGUCGGCUCUGAGAUAGGAACUGGUCUGUCUCCAGUGUUUUGCUGUAAACAUUCUCACACCCAUCCCCUAGGACAUGCCUGUGUGUGUGUGUGUGUGUGUG